CCGAGUGCGGGCCCUCGCGGCCCAAACCUCCCACCCUUGUCUCUAUACACCUGUUGCUUUGGCGGGCCCACCGGGGCCACCUGGUCGCCGGGGGGACGUACGUCCCCGGGCCCGCGCCCGCCGAAGCGCGCUGUGAACCCUGAUGAAGAUGGGGCUGUCUGAGUACUAUGAAAAUUGUCA
This 180-nucleotide unclassified non-coding RNA is filed under the name soil metagenome. RNAcentral describes it as "partial internal transcribed spacer 1". The record is from RNAcentral.